Salmo salar (Atlantic salmon) is the source of this 54-nucleotide non-coding RNA. The record is from Rfam. NCBI's taxonomy places the organism in Eukaryota, Metazoa, Chordata, Actinopteri, Salmoniformes, Salmonidae.
UGCAUUCACUAUUGUAAGUCCCUCUGGAUAAGAGUGUCUGCUAAAUGACUAAAA